This 919-nucleotide small RNA is filed under the name Pongo abelii (Sumatran orangutan). RNAcentral describes it as "processed transcript". The record is from RNAcentral. Lineage: Eukaryota; Metazoa; Chordata; Mammalia; Primates; Hominidae.
ACAGUGUUCACCACCCCAGCCAACGUUUCAACUCCAGAGACAACCUUGAAGCCUAGCCUGUCACCUGGAGAUGUUUCAGACCUUUCAACCACUAGCACUAGCCUUGCAACAUCUCCCACUGAACCCUAUACAUCAUCUUCUCCUAUCCCAAGUGUCAUCAAGACAGAAAUCAAAUGUUCAGGCAUCAAAGAAGUGAAAUUGACUCAGGGCAUCUGCCUGGAGCAAAAUGAGACCUCCAGCUGUGCGGAGUUUAAGAAGGACAGGGGAGAGGGCCUGGCCCAAGUGCUGUGUGGGGAGGAGCAGGCUGAUGCUGAUGCUGGGGCCCAGGUAUGCUCCCUGCUCCUUGCCCAGUCUGAGGUGAGGCCUCAGUGUCUACUGCUGGUCUUGGCCAACAGAACAGAAAUUUCCAGCAAACUCCAACUUAUGAAAAAGCACCAAUCUGACCUGAGAAAGCUGGGGAUCCUAGGUUUCACUGAGCAAGAUGUUGCAAGCCACCAGAGCUAUUCCCAAAAGACCCUGAUUGCGCUGGUCACCUCGGGAACCCUGCUGGCUGUCUUGGGCAUCACUGGCUAUUUCCUGAUGAAUCGCCGCAGCUGGAGCCCUGCAGGAGAAAGGCUGGAUGCUGCUUCUCUUCCUAAAGCCCCCAUCGAAGAGGCUUCCAGCCACCAUUCAAUCAUUCAUCAAGUCUUACGAUGUGCCAGACACUGUGUGAAAUGUGCCAGAACAUCUGUUAUGUGCCAGACACUGUUCUUGAGACUGGGGAUAGAGCAAACACUCAUGAAGCUUAUAAUUCUAGCAGAAGAGGACAGUAAACAAUGUCAUCUCAGUAAGUAUAUACAUGUGUUUUCAGGUCAUAUUGAGAGCUAUGAAAAACAUAAGAUAUAUUGAGAAUAAUGGUUGGUAUUUUACAUAUGGUGGU